Molecule: long non-coding RNA, 1082 nt
Organism: Plutella xylostella (diamondback moth)
Lineage: Eukaryota; Metazoa; Arthropoda; Insecta; Lepidoptera; Plutellidae
Source: RefSeq, a predicted model, not a curated record
CACUGCAAACACACACCAAAUACAAACAAAAAAAAAAAAAAAAAAAAAGUUAAAAGUACACAAAAAAUAAAAAUAAAAACAAGGUAGGUACAGUACAAGGUCCUGAAAACGGAAGUGGAUCCUAACUUUUAAUUACAAUGAUAAAGACUUUUCAGUUGGACUGUACAACUACAAAGGAAACAAAAACAAAACAUAGGUGUGUGUUGCCAAGCACCGAAACGGACGGCGGCUCAGCUUAUGCGGUGAUAGGGGUUUAUACCUACUACCGCGCUGAUUUUCAGCCGCUUCCCCUGUGAUGCCACUGACCUAAUAAAUAAAUUAAGUAUAUUUAUUAUAUGUGUGUGUACCUAUGCAUGUUCUGAUAGUGAGCGUACACCACGGCUGCCAUUGUGAACCCGAGGUUUGCAGGUACAUUCCAGUUCAAACCGGUUCGUGAUUUCAGUUCCCAGUCCCCGGGCACGCGGCUUUCAGGUACAGAUCACGCGACGCUGCCGCGCUGCACACUCACUACUACGUGCUAAAUUACAGAUUGAAUAAAGUAUGAAAUACGCUGUGAAAAAUGUGAAAUGUUAAACUUUAAUAAAUUAUACGUAAUAAGAAGUUAUGUGUAUGAGAAUGUAUGCUGCGAACAUAACGAACCACUACUAUGUAGUAGGUAAUUACACAAACAUGGAGGCAUGUUGUUUGAAAAUUCUGUCUGCACGUCGCGAAUAACACUGUUGUCGCGCAGACUAGGAUCUAACCUAUUCCAACAAUGAGUGGAGUUGAAGGAGAACGAGCCCAUGAAUGCUGCAGACUUGUGCUGUGGAGUCAGGAGCAAGUACGAGGACGCCCUGGUGCGGUGAGAGUUGAAGUCACGUGACCACCGUAACUUGUUAUACAAAUAUUCAGGCACCCUUUUUUGUAUGAUACCAUAUAGGAGGCAAGCAAAGUGGAGAUGCCGACGGCUUGCUAAUUUUAAAAUAUUCGACUUAUUUAUGUAAGGUGUCACGUGACAUCGUGCAGGGAUAUUGUGGCAGUACCGUGCGCAAGCAUUUUGAACACGCUGAAGGAGACGUUGCGUUUUGCCAUAGAGACAGGGG